Oncorhynchus tshawytscha (Chinook salmon) is the source of this 446-nucleotide long non-coding RNA. The record is from Ensembl. Lineage: Eukaryota; Metazoa; Chordata; Actinopteri; Salmoniformes; Salmonidae.
UAUGUAGGUAUGGAAUCUGUGAAGGCACAUGCAUUUCUAGGUUGACUACGCUCCUUGUAAUUUGAAAUGGAAAAGUCAGUAAAAUCAAACAAGAUAUUUCUACAGACAGAUAUCAUCUGCCAGUGAAGGUACUGCUAAACAAACGUGUCCACAGACAGAUAUCCUCUGCCAGUGAAGGUACUGCUAAACAAACGUGUCCACAGACAGAUAUCCUCUGCCAGUGAAGGUACUGCUAAACAAACGUGUCCACAGACAGAUAUCCUCUGCCAGUGAAGGUACUGCUAAACAAACGUGUCCACAGACAGAUAUCCUCUGCCAGUGAAGGUACUGCUAAACAAACGUGUCCACAGACAGAUAUCAUCUGCCAGUGAAGGUACUGCUAAACAAACGUGUCCACAGACAGAUAUCCUCUGCCAGUGAAGGUACUGCUAAACAAACGUGUCCAC